UAGGGAAUAUUGCGCAAUGGGGGAAACCCUGACGCAGCGACGCCGCGUGAAGGAUGAAGGCUUUCGAGUCGUAAACUUCUUUUGCAGUGGAAGAAACCUAUCGAUUCAAACAGGGUCGAUAGCUGACGGUACUCUGCGAAUAAGCGCCGGCCAACUACGUGCCAGCAGCCGCGGUAACACGUAGGGCGCAAGCGUUGCUCGGAUUUACUGGGCGUAAAGGGUCCGUAGGCGGGACUGUAAGUCGGGUGUGAAAUUUCGGAGCUUAACUCCGAAGCUGCGCUCGAUACUGCAGCCCUAGAGUACAGAAGAGGAGAGUGGAAUUCCCGGUGUAGCGGUGGAAUGCGUAGAUAUCGGGAGGAAUAUCGAUGGCGCAGGCAGCUCUCUGGUCUGUAACUGACGCUGAGGGACGAAAGCGUGGGAAGCAAACA
This 428-nucleotide ribosomal RNA is filed under the name uncultured prokaryote. Its description in RNAcentral is "bacterial SSU rRNA". It matches the Rfam family "Bacterial small subunit ribosomal RNA", at positions 355 to 774 of the family's 1533-position model. The record is from RNAcentral.